AUUGAACGCUGGCGGCAGGUCUAACACAUGCAAGUCGAGCGGAUGAAGGGAGCUUGCUCCUGGAUUCAGCGGCGGACGGGUGAGUAAUGCCUAGGAAUCUGCCUGGUAGUGGGGGAUAACGUCCGGAAACGGGCGCUAAUACCGCAUACGUCCUGAGGGAGAAAGUGGGGGAUCUUCGGACCUCACGCUAUCAGAUGAGCCUAGGUCGGAUUAGCUAGUUGGUGGGGUAAAGGCCUACCAAGGCGACGAUCCGUAACUGGUCUGAGAGGAUGAUCAGUCACACUGGAACUGAGACACGGUCCAGACUCCUACGGGAGGCAGCAGUGGGGAAUAUUGGACAAUGGGCGAAAGCCUGAUCCAGCCAUGCCGCGUGUGUGAAGAAGGUCUUCGGAUUGUAAAGCACCUUAAGUUGGGAGGAAGGGCAGUAAGUUAACACCUUGCUGUUUUGACGUUACCAACAGAAUAAGCACCGGCUAACUUCGUG
Molecule: ribosomal RNA, 484 nt
Filed under: uncultured bacterium
Lineage: Bacteria
Description: partial 16S ribosomal RNA
Rfam family: Bacterial small subunit ribosomal RNA
Source: RNAcentral